CUGGGACCAAGGCUGUGAUGGAGAACAAUUCACCCAAACGUGUCAGAUCAUCCAUCACUCAUAAGAGUCCAAGUCUUGGGAGAAUUUUCUUUUACCCUUAAGGUUGGGCCCCAUGAAGGCAAUGCCUGUGUCUGUUGUAUCACUACAAUAACCUCUAUCUUAGUAGAAACUAACAACAGUCCUUCCGUAAAUGAAAUUACAGAAAGAAGAGAGGACUAAACAAUCUCCUUUUGUUGCUAUGGCCCUGUGACAGUGGAACAUGGAGAUGUCGUGUCUGUGUGCUGAAAUAAGGAAACAUCCCUGCUUGUGUUAAAUAAAGUCAGCCAGCAUCACUGAUUUAUGGAACCAC
Molecule: long non-coding RNA, 349 nt
Organism: Neofelis nebulosa (Clouded leopard)
Lineage: Eukaryota; Metazoa; Chordata; Mammalia; Carnivora; Felidae
Exons: 3
Source: RefSeq, a predicted model, not a curated record